UCCGUAGGCGGGCAAUUAAGUCAGAGGUGAAAUCCCACAGCUCAACUGUGGAACUGCCUUUGAUACUGGUUAUCUUGAGUUUUAGUGAAGUAGAUAGAAUAUGUAGUGUAGCGGUGAAAUGCUUAGAUAUUACAUAGAAUACCGAUUGCGAAGGCAGUCUACUAACUAAUAACUGACGCUAAUGGACGAAAGCGUGGGGAGCGAACAGGAUUAGAUACCCUGGUAGUCC
This 229-nucleotide ribosomal RNA is filed under the name uncultured bacterium. Its description in RNAcentral is "partial 16S ribosomal RNA". It matches the Rfam family "Bacterial small subunit ribosomal RNA", at positions 568 to 796 of the family's 1533-position model. The record is from RNAcentral.